This 253-nucleotide ribosomal RNA is filed under the name uncultured bacterium. Its description in RNAcentral is "partial 16S ribosomal RNA". It matches the Rfam family "Bacterial small subunit ribosomal RNA", at positions 524 to 776 of the family's 1533-position model. The record is from RNAcentral.
GACGGAGGAUGCAAGCGUUAUCCGGAAUUAUUGGGCGUAAAGGGUGCGUAGGUGGUCAGACAAGUCCCAUGUCAAAGCAUGGUGCUUAACGCCAUAAAGGCGUGGGAAACUGUGUGACUAGAGUACAGCAGGGGCAGGAGGAAUUCCCGGUGUAGCGGUGAAAUGCGUAGAUAUCGGGAAGAACACCAGUGGCGCAAGCGUUCUGCUGGGCUGUAACUGACAAUGAGGCACGAAAGCUAGGGGAGCGAAAGGG